Molecule: non-coding RNA, 138 nt
Organism: Hordeum vulgare subsp. vulgare (domesticated barley)
Lineage: Eukaryota; Viridiplantae; Streptophyta; Magnoliopsida; Poales; Poaceae
Source: Rfam
AAAAUACUCCAUCCGUCCGGAAUUACUUGUUCUAAAAAUGGAUGAACCUAGACUUAUUUUAGUUAUAGAUAUAUCCAAUAUCAAUAUCUAGGUUCAUCCAUUUUUAGGACAAGUAUUUCAGGACGGAGGGAGUAAGAG